CCCUUGUGGAGGAGGACGCCGAAGGUGGGGCUAAUGACUGGGGUGAAGUCGUAACAAGGUAGCCGUACCGGAAGGUGCGGCUGGAUCACCUCCUAACAGGGAGACAACAAAAUGUAAAUAUUAAUUUUGUCACCUUAGGUCGAUCGGUAUCUCAGAUUCUUAAUUUUUAAGAAUUUUAGUUUCUAAGUUUUUUCUAGGUCACACCCAUCACUUUUUCCUGGGCCAUUAGCUCAGGUGGUUAGAGCGCACCCCUGAUAAGGGUGAGGUCCCUGGUUCAAGUCCAGGAUGGCCCAUAUCUCUAUGUUGGGGGUAUAGCUCAGUUGGUAGAGCGCCUGCUUUGCAAGCAGGAUGUCAGCGGUUCGAGUCCGCUUACCUCCACUGAAUACCACCUCUUACAUAUUUUAAAGAGGGAAAUUGUUAUGAGUCGUGUUCUAUUUUGCUCUGAGCGAAUCUAGCUUCCUAUUUUUAUUUAAUAAAUAAGAUGCUGGACUCAUUGAAUUAUUAUUCAUUGUUUUCAGAGAACCUUGACAACUGCAUAGAUUUUUUUUGAAGACAAUAAGCAUCUUUAAUGAUGCAGAUUUAUUAUUUGUGCGAAUGCAUUAAAUAACAAUUCUAUUAAGCUGAUGCUUCAAUAUAUUGAAGUUAUUGGUCAAGCUACAAAGGGCUCACGGAGGAUACCUAGGCACAC
Molecule: unclassified non-coding RNA, 688 nt
Filed under: uncultured Prochlorococcus sp.
Lineage: Bacteria; Bacillati; Cyanobacteriota; Cyanophyceae; Synechococcales; Prochlorococcaceae
Description: partial may contain 16S ribosomal RNA, 16S-23S ribosomal RNA intergenic spacer, and 23S ribosomal RNA
Rfam family: Bacterial small subunit ribosomal RNA (bases 1-96)
Source: RNAcentral